RNAcentral lists this ribosomal RNA (437 nucleotides) under uncultured bacterium. RNAcentral describes it as "partial 16S ribosomal RNA". It matches the Rfam family "Bacterial small subunit ribosomal RNA", at positions 29 to 507 of the family's 1533-position model. The record is from RNAcentral.
AGCGAACGCUGGCGGCAGGCUUAACACAUGCAAGUCGAGCGGGCAUCCUUGUGGUGUCAGCGGCAGACGGGUGAGUAACGCGUGGGAACGUGCCCUUCGGUUCGGAAUAACUCAGGGAAACUUGAGCUAAUACCGGAUACGUGCGAGAGCAGAAAGGUUUAUCUGCCGAAGGAUCGGCCCGCGUCUGAUUAGCUAGUUGGUGAGGUUAUGGCUCACCAAGGCGACGAUCAGUAGCUGGUCUGAGAGGAUGAUCAGCCACACUGGGACUGAGACACGGCCCAGACUCCUACGGGGGGCAGCAGUGGGGAAUAUUGGACAAUGGGGGCAACCCUGAUCCAGCCAUGCCGCGUGAGUGAUGACGGCCUUAGGGUUGUAAAGCUCUUUUCUCCGGGACGAUAAUGACGGUACCGGAGGAAUAAGCCCCGGCUAACUUCGUG